CUGUGGUGAAACUUGUAUCUUUUGGCAAUGGCUUUAUCGACACUUUGGCGCAACCCCUUUCUUUCUUUCUUUUUUUACAAGAAGGUGACGCCUAGGCUAACAGCUGUAAUUUUGGUGCUAGGUAGCAACACAUAGCUUAAAUUCCUCAGACAGCUAACAGUGCUUUGACAGUGAUAUUUAAGGGAGUAUUAGCAAAGCACCAAACUGAACAUUGUGUCUGAAGACUACUGGAACGUGCACUUAAAAUGUUUUCAUUGUCUGAGUUAUUUUUAAUUAGAAUUAUAAGGAGACAUAUCUGGGAUACAGGCCAUUUUGCUUUAAAACUCUGCAUACGCUUUGCCUGCUCAUUUGGUGCAGCCUUAUCAAACUUUCCUGGGUCCUACUGCUAGCGGAAUUUCUGCUCCGGCUCCCACAUCCAGUGAAAUAAACACAUGGUAAAUCCUAUUCUUUCACUUUUGUUCCUUGCGCACCAAGGUGAAAGCAGUCAGUGUUUGAACCCACAGGAAGCGGAUAUUGCCAAGUGAUGUACGCUGGCUGGUCAUAUUUUUCCAUAUUAUGACAAUUACCGCAACUUAAAUGCAACCAGGAGUGCCAUUUUCCAUUUGUUUAAAUGUAGAAAUACUUCAGAGUCCAGAGAAACCUUUCAGUGUUUCUGUUGUCGAGAUCAGCAGCUUUAACCUUUAAAUUUUAUUAGUGCAUCGCUUAUUCAUACCCUCGCAUUACUUAUUUAUGCCGGGCUAUUACGCAUCAUUGAAAUGAUUAUGAUGAAGAAAUGAAUUGCCAGUAUUGUUUUGGACUGUCUGCCUCGAUUCUGUUAUUGCCCGCUGAAAGGAAAGUUUGGAGUUUUUAUUUAUUGUUUUUUUUUAACUAUUAUUUAUUCUUUAUUUCUUGGAUGAUAUUAUGAUCAGAGCGAUGCUCACACAAGGAUGCAUUUUAAAUGUCAUAAUUCAGAACCCUUAUUACAGCCAAGGCCAAUUAGUAUGGCGGUUUUUCGGGUUUUAGAAAUUCAACUUCAAAUGCAAGUCUCGGGUUUAUUUUUAUUAUUAUUUUUAAUCACACAGUGCACUAUGUAUUUCAUAGUGUUAAUAUUGGCAAUGACAUUUUGAUGCGGGAAUUAUUAUUGUUGCUGCACAGCAGCACAACAGUAAUGGAGCAGCAUGUGUCAAACAUGUGUCCAUAUAGGCCACAGGGCCAGUGUGUUUACACAAAUAUUUCUAGAGCUGUCAUUGUUAAUGAGAAAAACAAAACAAAUAAAUACAGCAGCCGGGCUUCACGCAUCACAAAUAAAUUCUUAUUGUCUUUUUCUUUUUGCUUAUCUCAGUAUAUUUUAUUCCGA
Long non-coding RNA from Astatotilapia calliptera (eastern happy), 1336 nucleotides. NCBI's taxonomy places the organism in Eukaryota, Metazoa, Chordata, Actinopteri, Cichliformes, Cichlidae. The record is from Ensembl.